AAGUCGUAACAAGGUUUCCGUAGGUGAACCUGCGGAAGGAUCAUUACAAAUACUUGGUUAACACCUUCUAUUAUUGUGCAUCUCAUGUGGCUUUGGAGUCAUUUCUUCUUUAUUACAUUUUUCAAGUUGUAGAUUUUCUCUACAUACAAAUACCUAAAACUUCCAGCAACGGAUCUCUAGGUUCUC
Molecule: unclassified non-coding RNA, 186 nt
Filed under: fungal sp.
Lineage: Eukaryota; Fungi
Description: partial internal transcribed spacer region
Rfam family: Eukaryotic small subunit ribosomal RNA (bases 1-46)
Source: RNAcentral